AAUAGAUACCCCGGUAGUCCACGCCGUAAACGAUGUCGACUUGGAGGUUGUUCCCUUGAGGAGUGGCUUCCGGAGCUAACGCGUUAAGUCGACCGCCUGGGGAGUACGGCCGCAAGGUUAAAACUCAAAUGAAUUGACGGGGGCCCGCACAAGCGGUGGAGCAUGUGGUUUAAUUCGAUGCAACGCGAAGAACCUUACCUACUCUUGACAUCCAGAGAACUUAGCAGAGAUGCUUUGGUGCCUUCGGGAACUCUGAGACAGGUGCUGCAUGGCUGUCGUCAGCUCGUGUUGUGAAAUGUUGGGUUAAGUCCCGCAACGAGCGCAACCCUUAUCCUUUGCUGCCAGCGGUUCGGCCGGGAACUCAAAGGAGACUGCCAGUAAUAAACUGGAGGAAGUGGGGAUGACGUCAAGUCAUCAUGGCCCUUACGAGUAGGGCUACACACGUGCUACAAUGGCGUAUACAAAGAGAAGCGACCUCGCGAGAGCAAGCGGACCUCAUAAGUACGUCGUAGUCCGGAUUGGAGUCUGC
This 529-nucleotide ribosomal RNA is filed under the name uncultured bacterium. RNAcentral's name for it is "bacterial SSU rRNA". It matches the Rfam family "Bacterial small subunit ribosomal RNA", at positions 777 to 1308 of the family's 1533-position model. The record is from RNAcentral.